RNAcentral lists this small RNA (957 nucleotides) under Oryza sativa Japonica Group (Japanese rice). Its description in RNAcentral is "sRNA Os06g0542150". Lineage: Eukaryota; Viridiplantae; Streptophyta; Magnoliopsida; Poales; Poaceae. The record is from RNAcentral.
AUAGGACAAGCCAUAGACAUUAUUUGUUCCAAUGCCUGUCAAAGGCCGCUACAGCAUCCAUCGAUAACAAAAUAACAAAAGGGAAGGGGGUGAUAAGUUGGGGGGCAGAGGAGAGAUGAGAGGGGGUCAAAAUAGAGCUCCCGGAGAACAUACAGAUUGGUCUCUGUCUGAUCCAAGAACACAUCAGCGCGGUAUGUAGGGGGCCUUCUGCUAAGACUAGUAGAAUAACCAAAAGGACAAACUCUCUUCGACGACAAUUACUGAUCCGCGACGCGACAGACGGUCUCUAAGGCCACACAGACUAGAGAGGAGGCUUUGCUGCCCUGGACGAUGGCUUCAGAUGAGAGAGCCGGGUUUCAGUGCGACGUCACACGGGGCGAACGGGGCCGGACCGGUGUCUUUGACGGGCUCACCCUGCAGAACAGAGCAAGAAAAAGAGUUAGGUCUAUUGCGCAAUCGGGCCGUAACUGCUUGAACAAACUCAACAAACGCGAUGCAUGUGGAGUGCACAUAAUCACCCAGUAGCCUCAGUCGAGCAACCUACACAUAAAGGGAAAACACAGACAGUUUGAGGGAAAUCAGCUUACAUUCUUAUCGAUGUUAGUACAAUACACAGUCCUUGACACCAUUUCUUUCUCGUCCUCUGUAAAAAUUUAGGGUUCACCGGCAAAAUCGCGGUCUUAGAUGGCAGAACUCUCACAGGGUAAUAACCAAGCACGGUUCCACCAAGUGUUAAAGCUGCUCUUGCACCAACUUCAUCGGCAAACUCGAUAAAGGCAAAACGCAGCACUGAAUUUGGGUCACCACAUAUACGGCAAUCUACCACCUAUAACAAAUGUAACAGCUCAUUCUCUACUAUAUUCUCACAUGCUGAUCAAUGUCAGAUACAUAGACAGUUCGCCGCACACUAUCCUCCCUAUCAGUUCGCCUUGGUCGGCCUCCCAUCCUCCUCCUCCC